RNAcentral lists this transfer RNA (67 nucleotides) under Microbacteriaceae bacterium. RNAcentral describes it as "tRNA-Lys". It matches the Rfam family "tRNA". From Rfam's summary of the family: Transfer RNA (tRNA) molecules are approximately 80 nucleotides in length. Their secondary structure includes four short double-helical elements and three loops (D, anti-codon, and T loops). The record is from RNAcentral. Lineage: Bacteria; Bacillati; Actinomycetota; Actinomycetes; Micrococcales; Microbacteriaceae.
UUAGCUCAGUUGGUAGAGCAUCGGACUUUUAAUCCGCUGGUCGCGGGUUCGAGCCCCGCAGGACCCA